This 3162-nucleotide long non-coding RNA is filed under the name Drosophila guanche. The record is from RNAcentral. Lineage: Eukaryota; Metazoa; Arthropoda; Insecta; Diptera; Drosophilidae.
GUUCACAACUGUUAUAUAAUUACUUUCAUUUGUUUGUAUUUUUAUCUUUUUUUUAUUUUAAAGCGGCUGCUUUCAACAAUUGUUUGGUUUUGUUUUUUUCGAUUCGUAUUCAAUAAUUCAAUCAAUCAAUCAUUUACUGUAUAAUUCACACAUUUUGGUUUCUUCUUAGAUGAUUCGAGAGCGUGUGGCUUGUAUUUAUUCAUAUGUGUGAGCGUGUGUUUGUGUAUAAUUGUAAUUCCGUUAACUACAACUACAGAGACGCCUCUAAAACACACACACGAUGCACGAUCUACAUAUCCAUUCGUGUCUUCUGUAUCGUAUCAUCGAGGUCUUUUUCCUUUUUUAGCUUUUAGAAAUGUUAACAAAUUUACAGACUUAUAUUUGGAUUACCGUAAUCAUGUAUAUAUUAUUUAUAUAUGUAUAGAUGCAUUAUAUAAUAUGCACUGAAAUGUUUCAACAGGAUCUGUUGGUGUGCUCUUUGCGUCACAAAUCGCUCUGUAUAGUGGUGGAGGGGGAGGAAUGAUUGACGGAUGGGGCGUGAUAAUGACAAUUCAACUUUUCCUUUUCUGUGUUGUGUGUGUGUGUGCGUGUGUGUGUAAAAACCGAUUUCUCUAAAAUUUGUCUUACUUUCUCUUUUACUUUAUAUACGAUUUUGAGGCUAUGCUAUCCUUAUCCUCCACAUCAUUGCAUUAUCGUCUAUUUAGAUUCUCCCCUCCGUCCAUUAAAGUAAGAAAAAAAGUGCACUAGUUUCCCGUUUUGGUAUGGCUUUAACAUCGUCAAAGCACCACCCUCCUCCUUCUUUUGUUUGUUUACACACUGCUUAUACCAUUAUAAUAUUUCCAUACCGCCUGUAUAUACCAUCUGUGUCUAUAAUUGCAUUUUAUUUAGUUUAUAUUUGAGAAUUAAUCCCACUUUGUUGUGUGUUGCUUGUGUGUAGAAUGUAGGUUUUUUAAAUGCUACAAGUAAAUGCCUGCCUGCUUGCAAAUUAUUUGGUAUGUCCUUCCACUGUUCCUCCUUUUAAAAACUACUUUGGCCUUAUCCGCUAGGAGUUUCUACACUACUCGUACACUACACUACACUACACUACACUACAUACUGUUUGAAACAUUUUGCAAUGGAAAAAUGAGCAUCGAAAAAUGCACACUACACGCACACACACACACACACACACACACGCAUGGUUCGUAUUAGGGUGGAUCUGCAGAGCGAGAGAGAGAGAUAGCGCUUAGGUGGUUUACAUCGGAGAGGAAAGAUAUAACCGUUGGUUUGCUGGCUGGCUGGCUGACUGGAGAUAUAAGGAGAUAGUAAGAGUGGAUAACAGUUAAGCGCUCGCUCUCUCUGGCUUACAUAUGCAUGUGUGUGGCUGUGUGCACUUUUUCCCCAUCUUCACUUUGGCUCACCAAUUCACUAUAUUUGUAUGAAUUUGUGUGUGUGUUUGUAUAUGUAUUUGUGCGAGUGUGUUUAUGCGUUUGUGUUUAAGUUUUGGAAUUGCAAUUUCUGUAAAUUGUGUAUAUAUUUUUGUUUUAAUUAUUCCAUACAUACAAUACAUAUAUUUUUCGUAUAUAAAAAAAGAGCAUUUUGUUUUGUUUAGUUUAAUGCCUAACAGGGAUAUUCCAUUUCCAUUUAAUUAACGUUCUCUCUCUCUUUCCUAUUCGUUUCAUUUCAUUCGAUUCGUUCGUGCUCCUUCUCCCUAUCCUUCUUCUCUUUGCGGCUUAAAUGCAGUUAUUGACCUGAACAAUUGGUUUGUUUAUCUUUUGUGUUGUGGUUUUUGUUGAUUGAUUAAUUAGUUAAUGCUUUCUCUCUCUAUAUCUUUAUAUAUUACUAUAUGUGUGUGUGUGUAUAUACGUAUAAAUGUAUCUGCAUGUGAGUAUUUCUCUGUGUAUGAAUUUAUGUAUAUAUUUCUAUUCGUUUUUUUUUUAUUAUUUCAUUUUGGAAAUCUUGUUAAAAUGGUUUAACAUUUGCAUCUUCUCUUGCUAUUUCUGUCGUAUUCGUUAUGCUCGGUGUUUAUUUAUCAGAAGUAAUGUAACUGUUAUUGUUUUUGUUUUUCAUUUUUUAAAAUUUAAAACGUUUCCUAUGUUUUUCCUUUGAGUUUUAAUCAAGUGUUGAAAUAUUACUUUUAUAAUUUUAUUUCGUGAAAUGUUUUCGGUUUUUGACUUUCCUCAUUUAAGGUAUUUGUUUUGUUUUUCGCUUUUCCUUUCUUUUGGUGUUCGUUUGUUUUUGUUUCUGCAUUUGGUUUUAUGUUGUUUUUUGUUUUUGAUUCUUUAGUUUGCUUUAGAUUUCUGACGUCACAAAAAUUUCUACGUACGUGUCGCUGUUGGUGUUGUUGUUGUUGGUGGUGGUGGUUCUCGCAACGGAUUCUCAAAUAAUAAAAUUACAUAAAGUCCAAAAAACAAACCAAAAGUUAAAAGUUCUGUCGUCGCUAGGGAAGAAAGAGUCGGAAGGGAACAAGCGGUAGCUAAGAGCGAGUAGGGGGAAGGCUCGAUCCUUUGAAAUCCCAUUUUCUUCGAGGGUUUCCCAAUAGUUCGAGCCACGACUGUAAUUGUCGUAGGGGGAAAGUACAGUGGCGGCUGAAAGCAUUGGUAAGCUCUACAUAUCAUUUUCAUUAAAAUUACAUUUUAAAAGUUAGUACAGCGGGUCUUUUAGUCUUAAAAUACCAGAUUUUCUCCUAAAUGUCAAGCCUUCCCUCCACUGCUCAAGCUCUAGGCGGUUUGUCAGGGGGGUCACUACAAUAUCCUCGUAAAUAAAUAAUUUGGCUCUUACACACUAAGGACUCGCACUAAACAUAGGCAAACAUACUAAAUAUAUCGUACAUAAAAGGGAGGGGGGUGUUUAAAAAAAAAAAGUAUACAUAUAAGUGGGCAUAUUACAUACGAGUAGAUGAUUAAUUAUAGUACAGUUCGGUUAAUUAUAAUUUUAAUAAUAAUAAUAACAAUAGGCAACAACACAGAGCAGAGAACUGAUGUCUGUAUGUAUGUGUUUGUGUGUGUUUGUGUUUCUCAGUUACAGUUUACAGCUACAGUGUUGCAUCAAUUGGGAUGAGUCUGUGUGCAUGGGUGUCUGUAUUUUGUGGACGCCACUGUGUGCCUAUCAGCUAUCAGUUCCAAUAUGGAUGCUGUCCAUUGUGUCCCCUCAGUGUUCGGAGACACAGAGAGCGAAUGAGAG